Molecule: ribosomal RNA, 253 nt
Filed under: uncultured bacterium
Lineage: Bacteria
Description: partial 16S ribosomal RNA
Rfam family: Bacterial small subunit ribosomal RNA
Source: RNAcentral
GACGUAGGGCGCGAGCGUUGUCCGGAUUUAUUGGGCGUAAAGAGCUCGUAGGCGGCUCGUUGCGUCGGCUGUGAAAACCCGCAGCUCAACUGUGGGCUUGCAGCUGAUACGGGCGGGCUGGAGUUCGGUAGGGGAGACUGGAAUUCCUGGUGUAGCGGUGAAAUGCGCAGAUAUCAGGAGGAACACCGGUGGCGAAGGCGGGUCUCUGGGCCGAUACUGACGCUGAGACGCGAAAGCGUGGGGAGCAAACAGG